GAUGAACGCUGGCGGCGUGCCUAAUACAUGCAAGUCGAGCGAACAGACGAGGAGCUUGCUCCUCUGACGUUAGCGGCGGACGGGUGAGUAACACGUGGAUAACCUACCUAUAAGACUUGGAUAACUUCGGGAAACCGGAGCUAAUACCGGAUAAUAUAUUGAACCGCAUGGUUCAAUAGUUAAAGACGGUUUUGCUGUCACUUAUAGAUGGAUCCGCGCCGCAUUAGCUAGUUGGUAAGGUAACGGCUUACCAAGGCAACGAUGCGUAGCCGACCUGAGAGGGUGAUCGGCCACACGGGAACUGAGACACGGUCCAGACUCCUACGGGAGGCAGCAGUAGGGAAUCGGCCGCAAUGGGCGAAAGCCUGACGGAGCAACGGCGCGUGAGUGAUGAAGGUCUUCGGAUCGUAAAACUCUGUUACUAGGGAAGAACAAAUGUGUAAGUAACUAUGCACGUCUUGACGGUACCUAAUCAGAAAGCCACGGCUAACUACGUG
This 497-nucleotide ribosomal RNA is filed under the name uncultured bacterium. RNAcentral's name for it is "partial 16S ribosomal RNA". It matches the Rfam family "Bacterial small subunit ribosomal RNA", at positions 28 to 507 of the family's 1533-position model. The record is from RNAcentral.